RNAcentral lists this ribosomal RNA (468 nucleotides) under uncultured bacterium. RNAcentral's name for it is "partial 16S ribosomal RNA". It matches the Rfam family "Bacterial small subunit ribosomal RNA", at positions 28 to 507 of the family's 1533-position model. The record is from RNAcentral.
GAUGAACGCUGGCGGCGUGCUUAACACAUGCAAGUCGAACGGAAAGGCCCAAGCUUGCUUGGGUACUCGAGUGGCGAACGGGUGAGUAACACGUGGGUGAUCUGCCCUGCACUUCGGGAUAAGCCUGGGAAACUGGGUCUAAUACCGGAUAGGACGAUGGUUUGGAUGCCAUUGUGGAAAGUUUUUUCGGUGUGGGAUGAGCUCGCGGCCUAUCAGCUUGUUGGUGGGGUAAUGGCCUACCAAGGCGUCGACGGGUAGCCGGCCUGAGAGGGUGUACGGCCACAUUGGGACUGAGAUACGGCCCAGACUCCUACGGGAGGGAGCAGUGGGGAAUAUUGCACAAUGGGCGCAAGCCUGAUGCAGCGACGCCGCGUGGGGGAUGACGGCCUUCGGGUUGUAAACUCCUUUCGCUAGGGACGAAGCGUUUUUGUGACGGUACCUGGAGAAGAAGCACCGGCUAACUACGUG